CCUUUCUCAUAGGGCCAUGAUUAGUGAAGUCAUUGUGUUGAGGUCAUGGGGAAAAAUUGUCUGCCCGGGCCGAGCCAGAUCUGUAAAUUAAGGGUCAAGUCGAGAGGAGUAGUGGAGUCAGACACCAAAUUCACCAGAAAAUCAAAGAUAUCGGUGGCUAUAACAGCCGAGACAACGUCCUCUUUGUGAAGCGUCCUUCUCUUUCUUUGCAUGGCCACCAUCCAAGACCUACGUGUCAAUUCCUCGAUCAAAAGUUCACAAGCCUUGGAAAAUACGAUGGGAGCCUCGCCGGAAAUCAUGUUGACGUUGCCCCCAGACUUUUUCAUGAUCUUCUUUAUCCUCGCCAACGGAAACGAAUGAGGUCCCGUUCUACCUCCGGCGAGUAUUCCCGAAUACAUUCCAGCUUGCCUCAUGUUGAUGAUCUUUUCCUGUGUUUCUAAGGACUCCAGUUAACGUACUUUCUUAGAAUAUUUAGAGGAUGGAGAUGAGCACAUAAAAGCUAUAUAUAUUUAUAGGAUCAGGAGUGUGUUCGGCCGGGGAAGGCUUGCAUGGAGCUGGAAAUGGGCGUGUAGUAGUGGUACAGGUGGCCGGCCAGCCCACUUAAAAGCCGGCUAAAACCCUAUAUAUUAAUUAUAACUCAAUUAUUAAUUUCUAAUAUUUGUUCACA
Molecule: long non-coding RNA, 667 nt
Organism: Carya illinoinensis
Lineage: Eukaryota; Viridiplantae; Streptophyta; Magnoliopsida; Fagales; Juglandaceae
Exons: 2
Source: RefSeq, a predicted model, not a curated record